UGGGAGGCUUUGAAGUGUGGACGCCAGUCUGCAUGGAGCCGACCUUGAAAUACCACCCUUUAAUGUUUGAUGUUCUAACGUGGGCCCCUUACCGGGGUUGCGGACAGUGUCUGGUGGGUAGUUUGACUGGGGCGGUCUCCUCCUAAAGAGUAACGGAGGAGCACGAAGGUUGGCUAAUCCUGGUCGGACAUCAGGAGGUUAGUGCAAUGGCAUAAGCCAGCUUGACUGCGAGCGUGACGGCGCGAGCAGGUGCGAAAGCAGGUCAUAGUGAUCCGGUGGUUCUGAAUGGAAGGGCCAUCGCUCAACGGAUAAAAGGUACUCCGGGGAUAACAGGCUGAUACCGCCCAAGAGUUCAUAUCGACGGCGGUGUUUGGCACCUCGAUGUCGGCUCAUCACAUCCUGGGGCUGAAGUAGGUCCCAAGGGUAUGGCUGUUCGCCAUUUAAAGUGGUACGCGAGCUGGGUUUAGAACGUCGUGAGACAGUUCGGUCCCUAUCUGCCG
Molecule: ribosomal RNA, 500 nt
Filed under: Escherichia coli
Lineage: Bacteria; Pseudomonadati; Pseudomonadota; Gammaproteobacteria; Enterobacterales; Enterobacteriaceae
Description: partial 23S ribosomal RNA
Rfam family: Bacterial large subunit ribosomal RNA
Source: RNAcentral